GACGAACGCUGGCGGCGUGCCUAAUACAUGCAAGUAGAACGCACAGUUUAUACCGUAGCUUGCUACACCAUAGACUGUGAGUUGCGAACGGGUGAGUAACGCGUAGGUAACCUGCCUGGUAGCGGGGGAUAACUAUUGGAAACGAUAGCUAAUACCGCAUAAUAUUGAUUAUUGCAUGAUAAUUGAUUGAAAGAUGCUAUUGCAUCACUACCAGAUGGACCUUCGUUGUAUUAGCUAGUAGGUGAGGUAACGGCUCACCUAGGCGACGAUACAUAGCCGACCUGAGAGGGUGAUCGGCCACACUGGGACUGAGACACGGCCCAGACUACUACGGGAGGCAGCAGUAGGGAAUCUUCGGCAAUGGACGAAAGUCUGACCGAGCAACGCCGCGUGAGUGAAGAAGGUUUUCGGAUCGUAAAGCUCUGUUGUAAGAGAAGAACGGGUGUGAGAGUGGAAAGUUCACACUGUGACGGUAGCUGACCAGAAAGGGACGGCUAACUACGUG
Molecule: ribosomal RNA, 505 nt
Filed under: uncultured bacterium
Lineage: Bacteria
Description: partial 16S ribosomal RNA
Rfam family: Bacterial small subunit ribosomal RNA
Source: RNAcentral